Stylophora pistillata is the source of this 400-nucleotide long non-coding RNA. The record is from RefSeq and is a predicted model, not a curated record. NCBI's taxonomy places the organism in Eukaryota, Metazoa, Cnidaria, Anthozoa, Scleractinia, Pocilloporidae.
UGGAUUACUAAAAAGGAAUCCUCGUGACAGGCUGGAUUUUGCGGAUUUCUUUGCCCACUCCUUCUUGAUUGGCAGAGUUCCCCAUCGUGCAUCUACCCCAGUUGCUGUCCCAGUUCACCAACGUAAACACUCUGGAAGUCCUCAUGGAACAAGGUCACCCUCAUAUUCCCCUGUAAGUGUGCCAUCAUUAUAUAACAUUAUAUUGUUUGUCCUUAUAGAAGGGUUGGUGCACAGUCCAAGCAGCUGUCUAGAGAGGGAAGGUUAUCUGAGUAGUCAAGACUCCCUUAAGGUUUGGCUCCAAUUGUCUGCAGGAUGAUUUUCUCUCCAGCAGAUAGACUUCAAGUUUGUCUAUCCAUUAAGCUAACUGCCUCCCGGUUAGCAUAAUGGAUAGAGCGCUGGA